RNAcentral lists this ribosomal RNA (330 nucleotides) under uncultured eukaryote. Its description in RNAcentral is "partial 18S ribosomal RNA". It matches the Rfam family "Eukaryotic small subunit ribosomal RNA", at positions 1470 to 1796 of the family's 1831-position model. The record is from RNAcentral.
CCCUUAGAUGUUCUGGGCUGCACACGUGCUACACUGAUGCAUUCAACGAGUCUAAAACCUGGUCUGAUAGGGCUGGGUAAUCUUUUGAAUGUGCAUCGUGAUUGGGAUAGAUGAUUGCAAUUCUUCAUCUUCAACGAGGAAUGCCUAGUAAACGCAAGUCAUCAGCUUGCAUUGAUUACGUCCCUGCCCUUUGUACACACCGCCCGUCGCUCCUACCGAUUGAAUGUUCCGAUGAAUACCAUGGACUGAGAGUAUGAAUGGGUUCGCCUAUUUCUGCUUCUCGGGAAGUGGAGUAAAUCUUAACAUUUAGAGGAAGGAGAAGUCGUAACA